RNAcentral lists this ribosomal RNA (468 nucleotides) under uncultured bacterium. RNAcentral's name for it is "partial 16S ribosomal RNA". It matches the Rfam family "Bacterial small subunit ribosomal RNA", at positions 28 to 507 of the family's 1533-position model. The record is from RNAcentral.
GACGAACGCUGGCGGCGUGCCUAACACAUGCAAGUCGAACGGAAAGGCCCUGCUUUUGUGCUGUGCUCGAGUGGCGAACGGGUGAGUAACACGUGUGUAACCUGACCUUCACUUUCGGAUAACUUCAGGAAACUGGGCCUACUACCAUAUAGGAGCUCCUGCACCAUUGUGGGCAUUGGAAAGUUUCGGCUGUUGGGGAUGGAUGCGCGGCUUAUGAGCUUGCUGGUUGGGUAGUGGCUUACCAAGGCUUUGAAGGGUAGCCGGCCUGGGAGGGUGACCGGGGACAUGGGGACUGCGAGACGGAGCAGUCGCCUACGGGAGGCAGCAGUGGGGAGUAUUACACAGUGGGCGGAAGUCUGAGGCAGAGACGCCGCGUGCGGGAUGACGGCUUGCUGGGUGUGAACCGCUUUCGCCUGUGACGAAGCGGGAGUGGCGGUAAUGGGUAAAGAAGCACCGGCUAACUACGUG